GACGGAGGGUGCUAGCGUUGUUCGGAAUCACUGGGCGUAAAGGGCGCGUAGGCGGCCGCCCGCGUCGGACGUGAAAGCCCGGGGCUCAACCCCGGAACGGCGUCCGAUACGGGGCGGCUCGAGGCCGGGAGAGGGGAGUGGAAUACCCAGUGUAGAGGUGAAAUUCGUAGAUAUUGGGUGGAACACCGGUGGCGAAAGCGGCCCCCUGGCCCGGUCCUGACGCUGAGGCGCGAAAGCGUGGGGAGCAAACAGG
RNAcentral lists this ribosomal RNA (253 nucleotides) under uncultured bacterium. RNAcentral's name for it is "partial 16S ribosomal RNA". It matches the Rfam family "Bacterial small subunit ribosomal RNA", at positions 524 to 776 of the family's 1533-position model. The record is from RNAcentral.